AUAGCGUAUAUUCAAGUUGUUGCAGUUAAAAAGCUCGUAGUUGAAUUUCGGACCUGGUUAGGUGGUUUAGUCGCAAGAUUAACACUGCUUCGACUGGGUCUUUCCUUCUAGGGAACUAAUGUGCUCUUUCUUUGAGUGUGUUAGGGAUCUAGGACUGUUACUUUGAAAAAAUUAGAGUGUUCAAAACAAGCUUAUGCUUGAAUACAUUAGCAUGGAAUAACGGAAUAGGACUUUGUUUCUAUUUUGUUGGUUUUGAGAAACGAGGUAAUGAUUAAUAGGGAUAGUUGGGGGCAUUAGUAUUCCAUAGUCAGAGGUGAAAUUCUUGGAUUUAUGAAAGACUAACUUCUG
This 348-nucleotide ribosomal RNA is filed under the name uncultured eukaryote. Its description in RNAcentral is "SSU rRNA". It matches the Rfam family "Eukaryotic small subunit ribosomal RNA", at positions 594 to 945 of the family's 1831-position model. The record is from RNAcentral.